GAUGAGAACGUAGCGAAAUGCGAUAAGUAAUGUGAAUUGCAGAAUUCAGUGAAUCAUCGAAUCUUUGAACGCACAUUGCGCCCUUUGGUAUUCCUUAGGGCAUGCCUGUUCGAGCGUCAUUUAAACCUUCAAGCUAAGCUUGGUGUUGGGUGACUGUCCGCUUCACGGCGGACUCGCCUCAAAAUUAUUGGCGGCCGGUACAUUGGCUUCGAGCGCAGCAGAAACGCGAACUCGGGCCCGUCGUAUUGGCUCCCAGAAGCUAUCUUCACAAUUUUGACCUCGGAUCAGGUAGGGAUACCCGCUGAACUUAAGCAUAUCAAUAAGCGGAGGA
RNAcentral lists this unclassified non-coding RNA (331 nucleotides) under soil metagenome. Its description in RNAcentral is "partial contains 5.8S ribosomal RNA, internal transcribed spacer 2, and large subunit ribosomal RNA". The stretch from base 5 to 119 matches the Rfam family "5.8S ribosomal RNA", at positions 40 to 154 of the family's 154-position model. The record is from RNAcentral.